This 427-nucleotide ribosomal RNA is filed under the name uncultured bacterium. Its description in RNAcentral is "partial 16S ribosomal RNA". It matches the Rfam family "Bacterial small subunit ribosomal RNA", at positions 355 to 774 of the family's 1533-position model. The record is from RNAcentral.
UGGGGAAUAUUGGACAAUGGGCGAAAGCCUGAUCCAGCCAUGCCGCGUGUGUGAAGAAGGUCUUCGGAUUGUAAAGCACUUUAAGUUGGGAGGAAGGGCAUUAACCUAAUACGUUAGUGUUUUGACGUUACCGACAGAAUAAGCACCGGCUAACUCUAUGCCAGCAGCCGCGGUAAUACAGAGGGUGCAAGCGUUAAUCGGAAUUACUGGGCGUAAAGCGCGCGUAGGUGGUUUGUUAAGUUGGAUGUGAAAGCCCCGGGCUCAACCUGGGAACUGCAUCCAAAACUGGCAAGCUAGAGUACGGUAGAGGGUGGUGGAAUUUCCUGUGUAGCGGUGAAAUGCGUAGAUAUAGGAAGGAACACCAGUGGCGAAGGCGACCACCUGGACUGAUACUGACACUGAGGUGCGAAAGCGUGGGGAGCAAACA